RNAcentral lists this ribosomal RNA (263 nucleotides) under uncultured bacterium. Its description in RNAcentral is "partial 16S ribosomal RNA". It matches the Rfam family "Bacterial small subunit ribosomal RNA", at positions 92 to 354 of the family's 1533-position model. The record is from RNAcentral.
UGAGUGGCGGACGGGUGGAGUAACGCGUGGGCGAACCUGGCCGUGUACAGGGGAGUAACACUUAGAAAUAGGUGCUAAUACCGCAUAACGGGAGAAGCGCAUGGCUUUUUCCUGAAAACUCCGGUGGUACAGGAUGGGCCCGCGUCUGAUUAGCCAGUUGGCAGGGUAACGGCCUACCAAAGCGACGAUCAGUAGCCGGCCUGAGAGGGCGGACGGCCACACUGGGACUGAGACACGGCCCAGACUCCUACGGAAGGCAGCAG